GAAACGCGAUAGUUAAUGUGAAUUGCAGAAUUCAGUGAAUCAUCGAGUCUUUGAACGCACAUUGCGCCUUCUGGGAUUCCGGUAGGCACGUCUGUUCGAGCGUCAGUAAAACCUCUCCGGUUUGCAAUUUUGUAGACACGGUUUUUGGCGUGGGGAGUGGCCGCCGCGCUUCGGUGCGGGCAGGUUCCCCCGCUUAAACGUGAAGCUAGCGGUAGAUAAUAAUUGCGUUGACUCGUAGAAUAUACCGUCACCAGCCUUUAGAAUCCGCCGCCUAAACUUCGGGCUUUCGGCCCCUGACUCUUGACCUCGGAUCAGAUGAGGAUACCCGCUGAACUUAA
This 338-nucleotide unclassified non-coding RNA is filed under the name uncultured Orbiliales. RNAcentral describes it as "sequence contains ITS1". The stretch from base 1 to 105 matches the Rfam family "5.8S ribosomal RNA", at positions 50 to 154 of the family's 154-position model. Lineage: Eukaryota; Fungi; Ascomycota; Orbiliomycetes; Orbiliales. The record is from RNAcentral.